CGAGUUGGUGAGCAGGAAUCCGGCCCCGCUCCCUUGGGCAUUGGAAGCUUCAUCUAUGUGUAACACCCAGGUCGACCCGGGGACAAAUUCAGGAGUCGCAGCUUCUUUGGAGCUCCCGUCUUCCGAUAUUUGAUCGGCUGUCGGGCAUUCCGCAAUAAAGUCGGCCAGAACUUGGGCUUUCAAAGCAAGUCAUGGUCGGU
This 200-nucleotide long non-coding RNA is filed under the name Elaeis guineensis (African oil palm). RNAcentral's name for it is "long non-coding RNA (EGUI_LNC019293)". The record is from RNAcentral. Lineage: Eukaryota; Viridiplantae; Streptophyta; Magnoliopsida; Arecales; Arecaceae.